GACGAACGCUGGCGGCGUGCUUAACACAUGCAAGUCGAACGGUAAGGCCCUUCGGGGUACACGAGUGGCGAACGGGUGAGUAACACGUGGGUGAUCUGCCCUGCACUUCGGGAUAAGCCUGGGAAACUGGGUCUAAUACCGGAUAGGACCCUGGGAUGCAUGUCCUGGGGUGGAAAGCUUUUGCGGUGUGGGUAUGGGCCCGCGGCCUAUCAGCUUGUUGGUGGGGUGAUGGCCUACCAAGGCGACGACGGGUAGCCGGCCUGAGAGGGUGACCGGCCACACUGGGAGUGAGAUACGGCCCAGACUCCUACGGGAGGCAGCAGUGGGGAAUAUUGCACAAUGGGCGCAAGCCGGAUGCAGCGACGCCGCGUGAGGGAUGACGGCCUUCGGGUUGUAAACCUCUUUCAGCACCGACGAAGCGCAAGUGACGGUAGGUGCAGAAGAAGGACCGGCCAACUACGUGCCAGCAGCCGCCGUAA
RNAcentral lists this ribosomal RNA (479 nucleotides) under uncultured bacterium. RNAcentral's name for it is "partial 16S ribosomal RNA". It matches the Rfam family "Bacterial small subunit ribosomal RNA", at positions 28 to 523 of the family's 1533-position model. The record is from RNAcentral.